RNAcentral lists this ribosomal RNA (957 nucleotides) under Triticum aestivum (bread wheat). RNAcentral describes it as "partial small subunit ribosomal RNA". The record is from RNAcentral. Lineage: Eukaryota; Viridiplantae; Streptophyta; Magnoliopsida; Poales; Poaceae.
AUGUCUCUGAGUCGAAUGAUGGAAAUUGCCACCAAGUAUGCUAAUGGUGAAGAGGAGGAUCAGCUCCGGAGUGGCAAGCACAAAACAGUCGCCCACGAAACCGGAGGAGGGAACUCCAGUUGGAAGCAGAAGCGCAAAGCCGAGCCAGCUGAUCCUGGAGAAGCCUUAGCCGUGACUCAAGGAAAGUUCAAGGGGAAGCCCAAAGGGCCAUGGAACCCCAAGAAAGUAAAAGAUCAAGAUGGAAAUGAUGUGUUGGAUUUACCAUGCCACAUUCACACCAAAAAAGGCGAAGAGGGUAAUCUCAUAUACCCGAAACAUACCACUCGACAGUGUCGGCUCCUAAUCCAGCAGUUCCGAGAGAAACAACCCAAAGAGAAGGAAAAAGAGUCGGACAAAGUUGAGGAUAAAGAGGAAGAUGAUGAUGGAUACCCCCACGUCAAUUCCACUCUGAUGAUUUUUGCUGACAUUGAGAGCAAAAGUCGACUGAAACUCAUCAACAAAGAAGUGAACAUGGUCGCUCCGGUGACACCCAGUUAUUUGAAGUGGUCUCAGACUGCCAUUACAUUCGACCAGUCUGAUCACCCAACGCACAUAGCCACCCCUGGGAGGCAAGCGUUGGUGGUCGACCCAGUUGUCGAAGGCACUCGGUUAACUAAGGUUCUGAUGGAUGGUGGCAGUGGCUUGAAUAUACUGUAUGCGGAGACCUUGAAGGGAAUGGGCAUUCCGAUGUCCAGACUCAGUGAAAGCAAUAUGAGUUUCCAUGGGGUUAUUCCUGGCAAGAAGGCUGAGUCACUCGGACAGAUCGCCCUCGAUGUGGUUUUUGGCGAUUCCAAGAAUUACCGCAAAGAAAAGUUGACGUUUGAAGUCGUGGAUUCUAAAGUGCUUAUCACGCUAUUCUGGGCAGGCCGGCUUAUGCAUGUUUUAUGGCUCGACCAUGUUACGUGUACCUCAAAUUGA